CUUUACUAUAGCCUGGAAUUGUGUUCGGGCUUUUCUUGCGCAGACUAGGUGGGAGGCUAUGAAGAUUUCCUUCCGGGGAAGUUGGAGCCAUCAGUGAGAGACCACUCUGGAGAGGCUAGAAUCCUAAUGGUGAUCCUUGAAUCAGGACACUUGACAGUUUCAGGUGGGCAGUUUUUCUGGGGCGGAAGCCUCAUAAAGGGUAACUGAGGCGCGCAAAGGUCCCCUCAGUCUGGACGGAAAUCAGACAACGAGUGUAAAGGCAAAAGGGGGCUUGACUGCAAGACCUACAAGUCGAGCAGGAGCGAAAGCUGGCCUUAGUGAUCCGACGGUACCGUGUGGGAGGGCCGUCGCUCAACGAAUAAAAGUUA
This 368-nucleotide ribosomal RNA is filed under the name uncultured organism. RNAcentral's name for it is "bacterial LSU rRNA". It matches the Rfam family "Bacterial large subunit ribosomal RNA", at positions 2099 to 2465 of the family's 2925-position model. The record is from RNAcentral.